ACGGGUGCGUAACGCGUAUGCAACCUACCUUCAUCAGGGGGAUAGCCCGGAGAAAUCCGGAUUAAUACCGCAUAAAAUCACAGCACUGCAUAGUGCAAUGAUCAAACAUUUAUGGGAUGGAGAUGGGCAUGCGUGUCAUUAGCUAGUUGGCGGGGUAACGGCCCACCAAGGCGACGAUGACUAGGGGAUCUGAGAGGAUGGCCCCCCACACUGGUACUGAGACACGGACCAGACUCCUACGGGAGGCAGCAGUAAGGAAUAUUGGUCAAUGGAGGCAACUCUGAACCAGCCAUGCCGCGUGCAGGAAGACUGCCCUAUGGGUUGUAAACUGCUUUUAUCCGGGAAUAAACCACAUUACGUGUAAUGUGCUGAAUGUACCGGAAGAAUAAGGAUCGGCUAACUCCGUGCCAGCAGCCGCGGUAAUACGGAGGAUCCAAGCGUUAUCCGGAUUUAUUGGGUUUAAAGGGUGCGUAGGCGGCCUGUUAAGUCAGGGGUGAAAGACGGUAGCUCAACUAUCGCAGUGCCCUUGAUACUGAUGGGCUUGAAUGGACUAGAGGUAGGCGGAAUGAGACAAGUAGCGGUGAA
This 585-nucleotide ribosomal RNA is filed under the name Pedobacter sp. BvORR186. RNAcentral describes it as "bacterial SSU rRNA". It matches the Rfam family "Bacterial small subunit ribosomal RNA", at positions 102 to 685 of the family's 1533-position model. The record is from RNAcentral. Lineage: Bacteria; Pseudomonadati; Bacteroidota; Sphingobacteriia; Sphingobacteriales; Sphingobacteriaceae.